Molecule: ribosomal RNA, 253 nt
Filed under: uncultured bacterium
Lineage: Bacteria
Description: partial 16S ribosomal RNA
Rfam family: Bacterial small subunit ribosomal RNA
Source: RNAcentral
UACGGGGGGGGCAAGCGUUGUUCGGAAUUACUGGGCGUAAAGGGCUCGUAGGCGGCUAACUAAGUCGGAUGUGAAAUCCCCAGGCUUAACCUGGGAACUGCAUCCGAUACUGGAUGGCUUGAAUCCGGGAGAGGGAUGCAGAAUUCCAGGUGUAGCGGUGAAAUGCGUAGAUAUCUGGAGGAAUACCGGUGGCGAAGGCGGCAUCCUGGACCGGCAUUGACGCUGAUGAGCGAAAGCUAGGGGAGCAAACGGG